Molecule: non-coding RNA, 656 nt
Organism: Ceratotherium simum simum (southern white rhinoceros)
Lineage: Eukaryota; Metazoa; Chordata; Mammalia; Perissodactyla; Rhinocerotidae
Source: RefSeq, a predicted model, not a curated record
UAACAUGUAAGUUUGAAUCAAAUAACUGCCACAUCUUUAUUGCCUAAAUUAGUCUGAACUCUUGAGAUAUUCUUGGAGCUGGGAGGAGUCACCAGGACAGAGUUUUAAAUGGGAUAUUUUCCUUUCACCAUUGAUCACUAUGAAUUUGAUAGGUUACUUAGCUAAUGAAGCAGAAAUUUACUCCUUGAUUAUUCAGAAAAUAGGUCAAGUACACCAUGGGCAUUAUGGAACCCCACUUAAAUGGCUAAUGAGGUUUAUAACUUGAAGCAGUCUAUUCUUUUUUGGGUGGUUAGCCUGAAUGGGGCUCUAAUGGCUUUUUUGCCUCAUAUAGUUGAUCCAGCUUUGAUUUCUGAUUUUUGCAUAGUAGAGGUUAGGUCUGAGGUGUAACACUAAGCCCUUGAAUUAUAUUCUGCUCCUCAGAAAUAUGUGGUUAUAGUUGUCCUUAUGACACAACAAAGCUGCUGGUGAUUAGCAAAUAUUUAAACAAAAUUACUCCACGUCAAUUUUAAGGUUGUACAGUUUGUAACACUGUAUAACAGCUAAUCCAAAAUGACUAAAGUUUGGCUGUUGCCAAUAAUGGAGAACUGUGAGAUUCUUAUUCCUGAGGCAUCCAAGUGUCUCAGCUGGUUGGGUAUUUUCAAAUUGUCUGAUUAAUU